UGUAAUAACAUGUAAUCUGCACAUCAGGAUCACAAAGGCAAAUCUAUAAUUUCACUUGAUUUAUUUUCUUAAAAUGUGACAAUCCCACAUGUUGCUUGAAAUGAUGGAAGUUGGGACAAACAGGAAUGUGGGAGGUUUAUGAGCUGCGUCAGCCAAGUCUUGGGGAUCCCUCCUCUUCCGUGCCUGGAAGAUAGGCCUGAGCAAUUUCCCCUUUUACUGCAGCAAUAUCUCCUCUGCAUUCAGCAGAAAGACCCCCAACCUGUAAACAUAUUAGUAGGCGUGUUCGCUUUACAAGUGUGUAAAUUUCCCCACAGUGUGUACCUCCUGGGUCUGAGGCCCUGAUUAUUGGUGUAAGUAGCCUGUGCAGGAGAAAGCUCCAGUGUGGUCUAGAUUUGUGCCCACUGGAGGGUGGUGGACAGGCUGGGGGAUUUGAAAACACAGUAGCAGACAUUUUCUCUCACCAGCAGGCAGGAAUCCACUCACAUGAAAUAACACAAAAUGAUUGCCAAGGCCUGAGAGCUGUGACUCAGGGGCAAGAUGUACAGAUUCAGACUUACAAAACCAUCCAAGAGCCUCUUCAGGCCCAAGGGAAACUUAGCUCCCAUUGCCUGCUGCCUUUUGCCACUCUUCCUUCUCCUUUGACAGGUGACUUCAUGUGGAACACAAUAAUAACCAUGGUUAUUGGAAGCCUGGUAUGUGGUAGAGGUGCACUAAUCCAGCUCAUUGACCACCUCCAAGCCAUCCCUCACUGGGUCCACAGGACCUGAGCUCUCAUCAAGCAGUAGUAUCAGGCUACAAGAGUCCUCAUGAACCCCAAAUCAGGCUCCCUUUGGGAUGAAAGAGAUUUCUGAGUGUGUGGGUGUGGAGACUCAACCUUCAGGUCAAAGCUUUCCCCAAGUGAUCUCCUCCUCCCUCUCCAACUGCUUCUUCUCCAGUUUCCUAGUUAUCAAAAAUGUUUAUUUUUUGAAAUGAUGAGAACAAACCUGCAUGGAUAUUUGUACUUUCAAACUUAGAAGGGAAUGGUAAGAAGCUCAAUCAGCCCCCUGGAAUGCUGUAGCUUUGUCCAGAACCUCCUUCUGCUACUGACACCUCCUUGGGAGUAAGAGACACAGGCUUCUGGGUAUUUUAGCUGUAGAACCCAAGAAUUACCCAUGAGGGUGUGCUUUUUGCAGAUUUUGUCUCCCAACUCUUAGAACGUUACUCGUGGUCAAAUGUGUUUUCAUCCUUACAAUUACCAAGGGGCCUCCACGGGGCUGCCAAGCUGGCUGGAAAGCUAUGUGUGUAUAUGUGUGUGUGUUUUCCUUUCCCCCUAACUCACUGAGAGCUUGGCAAGGCCAGGAGAGAGGCAGCUGAUUAUUUUUAGCC
This 1365-nucleotide long non-coding RNA is filed under the name Heterocephalus glaber (naked mole-rat). RNAcentral's name for it is "lncRNA (ENSHGLG00000037431.1)". The record is from RNAcentral. Lineage: Eukaryota; Metazoa; Chordata; Mammalia; Rodentia; Bathyergidae.